Long non-coding RNA from Hylaeus volcanicus, 3069 nucleotides. RefSeq lists it as uncharacterized. The record is from RefSeq and is a predicted model, not a curated record. The transcript is spliced from 6 exons. Lineage: Eukaryota; Metazoa; Arthropoda; Insecta; Hymenoptera; Colletidae.
GGUCCCAAUUUAUUAUACUUGUAUUUUUCUUUGAGGCGACUAAGAAGGGUGUCAGUUUUAUGGUCGUAUUAGAUACUUUCUUGACGCUGAAACCAGUGCGCAUGCGCGACUAGAACCGAAUCUGGCGUCACUGGUCCCAAGCGGUCCCAAGAGUGCAAACACGUGUUGCUCGUGAAUUAUCGUAUGAUUUUACAAGGGUAAGGAAGAACUAGGACGACGAGUGGGCGGAUUUAUCAAAGGAUUUGCUUCCUUCGCGUUACACAAGGAGACUUCGGGAGAGAAUGGAAGCACAGUCACGCGAUUUCCACAAAUUGGGGAUUGCAAUAAUUGUUGUGUCAGCCUGGUUGGAUGAAACUUGUGAUAUACGUAUAAACAGAGAUGUUACAUAAUGGGUGAAAUUCGUGUUACAAGAAGAAUUGUGAAAGAAUGCAAAGAAAGAAAGGAUUCAUGAAUUUUCCAAAGAAAAUGUCCUUUCACCUUAACCGUUCUAUCACCUUGGACGGUUAUCCUAUAAUCGGUUGGACGAUGAUCGACGGCGGCACGAGCAGCCCUCUCGAAAUGGAGGGGGAAGGGUUGCUACCCGUUGCGCGACUGGAAGCGAUUCUGACCAGUUGCCGCGUGUACUCCGAACCGUUCGCGUCGUUGUUUAUGGGGUGCUCGAACUUGAUCGACCCGUGAUCGACCCCGCGACGUCCGGCAGGUAACAGGCAGUCGACUGGAAGACACCUGAGGAAUUGUUGUUACCUAUCGGCUACCAUUGUCUGGCGAGAAUGAUACUCGACUUGAGAACGACUCCUCCAGCCGAUGAUCCCGUCCAAGGACCCGAAUCCCGCGGGUUUCGAUUGUCGAGCGUGUUCAUUCGGGUCAAGGCUCCGACGCGAACGUGCAUUUGUAACACAGACCCUCGUUAACAAUGGACACGGAAUAGUGCGCUAAUUAGCCCGGUGGAUAUUUGGGAAAGGUGGAACGUACAGGGUGUUUCGGUAGAAAUAAUUGCGCGCUUUCAUUUUUGACCGUUUGUGACUCUACAGUAUUUCAUCGUCGGUUUGUUGUUGUAUGUUAAAUUAGUAAUUUUAAAUGACCAACCUUGGAGGUCAUCGACCUGGUCUCCAUUAAAAUAGAUCUACACCUGCAAACAAGUAACAUGUAAAUAUAUCUAGUUAGAGAUGUAAAUUGUUGAAUACAGAGGCACAGAGUUAAUUUGCACAUGAUGGGAGAGCCUGGUGUCAAUUGAAACAGGGUUUUCUUCUUAUUUUGAUGUAGCAACUAUUAUUGCAGUAUUAACAGUAUUUAUCAAAGUGAAAUAAUUCACCCGAAACGGUUGUACCUCGCUCGUACCGAAUUGUGUUGGUAAAUAAUUUCCGAGCUCGUGUUUGAACGUUCAGAUACACUCGUUCGCUUCGUCGCGGAAACACGACGUCGUCUCCGCGAUCACGCGAAAUGUUUUAUGACUCGCGAGCCUGUGUAUUUACGUAGUCGCGUUACCAAGCGUGUUGUCCCUAGGCCGUGCAUAAUUGAAUCGCGGUUUGUUUGUCACGAUUGGCUCGCCGCAGCGAGAAUCGCAAUUUUGACGAGCACAAAUGUUUGUAUUUACCGUAUCGCGAAUGAAAACUGCGGAAAACAAUGAGACGCGUUUCCUCUUCCAUCCAACCAGUCAUUUUACAUGUCUGCUUGUAUUCUGAAAAGUAGGAGAAAAAUUGCCAAAUGUAAUUUCAAAUGUACCAAAAAUAUUUUAGAAGUUAUAGAAGCAUUGCUUAAAUUUGCCUUUGGGAUACUAUGUUUGGAGUCCAAGUAUACGAGUUUCUUCAUAUAUUUUUUUUAUAGGGAAGAAUUUAUGCAAUGUUUCUGUAACUUUGCGGAUAUUUUAGGUAUGUUUCAAAGUACCUUUGGUAAUUAUUUCAAUUCAUUUCGCAUAGGAAGGAAAGCAUUGUAAAGUAAAAGAAAAGUAAUUAUCGUCAUGAAUUGAAAUACAUUGAGGCUUUGAAAUGUGAAAUUAAAAAAAUUAAACAGACCUCCAGUUUUGUUACGAAUAACAUUUCUGUAAUAAGGCCACUGUUCGAUGCAACAGAGGAAUUGUUAUAAAAUUCUAUCAACUCGAGAGAAGCUAGUUUAACAGGUACAUUAGUAUCGGAGAGGAAUGAAUUUCGCGGAAUUAUUAUCAUUCCAAAAGAUGUUCCGAUGGUUGGAUUGUAACGACGAUUUCUAAUGACUUGUAAACAGUAAUAUUUUUACAAUUAAUUUUUCCGAGACAAUUGUCCUGUUAAAAAUAGAAUUAUAUUUGUUUCCUAGCGCGCCAACUUUUCUCAAAAUACAUUGUGUGUGAUUUGUGUGUGUGAUCAUUGUGAAACUGUGAUCCUUUGGCAGAAAAGCUCACAGAAACGCUUGCGAAGCUUUUGUAUAAUAUUUUUAACAUGGUAUGCAGUAAUUGUCGCGCAGAGUCUGUUAUGAGAGUCUGUUAUGAGAGUCAGUUAUGAGAGUUCGUAUCAUGUAAAGUAGUGUCAGAUUUAGAGAUUAGAAUUAAAUGGUUGACGAUAGAAAAUAUUAGUUUAAGAUAGACAGUACUGAAAGAUCUCUCGAUCUCGGAGGAAUUUUUACGGAAGCCUCCUUGCGAACGACGUAAUUCGCUAUUAAAAUAUUCAAAGUACAUUGUACGAAGAGUUUUUCGGCCGACUGUAAUUCUGGGUUCACGUAAAACGGGGACAAGCCUUUAAGCACUCCGAGUGGCCUUUGGGCGGCUUUAACCCGACGGAUACGCGCCUGAGAACUUUUAACGAGUUACCCUCGAAGGUACGGGUUUACUCUGCACAGAGAUUCCCUCUGAAAGGGAUUAAGACGACGGUUGACGUCUACGACAUUCGUUGAAUGAAAAUUUCCCCUGUUCGCUCGCGAGACGCAAUUAUACAAAUCGAGUUCAAGAGUUAAAGUGGAUGCGUGGAAUGGUGGACAGCACGAAAACCAAUCGGAGUGAUUGUCAUGCAACAGAAGUAAAAGAGCUAAUCGAAGCCAACGGAGAAGAAGAAAAAGAAGAAGAAGAAGAAGAAGAAGAAGAAGAAGAAGAAGAAGAAGAAG